This 106-nucleotide small nuclear RNA is filed under the name Carlito syrichta (Philippine tarsier). Lineage: Eukaryota; Metazoa; Chordata; Mammalia; Primates; Tarsiidae. The record is from RNAcentral.
UACUAAAUUUCAGCAGUCCAUUUAUAAAAUUCAAACAAUACAGAGAAGGUUAGCAUGGCCCCUGCACAAGGAUAACAUGCAAAUUCACAUAGCAUUCCAUCUUUUU